This 7414-nucleotide long non-coding RNA is filed under the name Sus scrofa (pig). Its description in RNAcentral is "lncRNA (ENSSSCG00015036439.1)". Lineage: Eukaryota; Metazoa; Chordata; Mammalia; Artiodactyla; Suidae. The record is from RNAcentral.
GUACUGUCCAGGGAAGCUUGGUCCAGAGGGGCUUACUCCAGAGGAGCUUAGAGAGGCAGAUGUGUCCCCCUGGAUGAGGAAAGCGGAUGUGCGGAAACGGGUGACGCCCAGAGGAAGUGACAGUGGCGCUUGGUCACCGAGAGGGCAGGGGAGCACGUGUGAAGGGUGCCGCUCAGGUGCGCCGAUUGCUUCUCAGCCCUCAGGGCGCAAGGCAGCUUUGAGGGCGUGUCAUCCGCAGCUGGCAGAUUUGUGAGCUCGUUCACACUGACAAAGAGGUGGCUUCACGGGACGUCCCAGCCCCGGACGCCUUGGAUUCAGAUUCACCUUGGGAGCCUGGCCAGAGACCCGCCAGCCAGCGCCCGGGCUCCUGAGCCGCGGAAAGCGGGAGACCCGGAGGGUGGUUUAAGCCGCCAGGCUUGUGUCGUUUACUCCAGAGCAGCACAACUCCAACAGACCCAUUCGUGUCAAAACUACUGUGUCGUGGUGGAAGAGCGGGGCCGAGAGAUUUCUUUAGUGCGACUCAGAGGCCGGGAGCUGGUCCAGUUAGAGAAACCCGGGUUCGCGUAGGAGGAGGUGAGCGCUAAGGUUCACCCGAGGCUGAGCCACUGAUCCUCGGCUGGGCUUUGAAUUGUGCCUUCCUGGUGACUCCGGCAGGGUUUAAAUGAGGCAGCUGUAACACUUCUGCCAUUAAGUGGCGCUUUAUUUGGGGAAAAGGAGGGAACCAGUCCCGGGAGAAAGGGGCAACCUGUUCUGAUUGAUCCCAGCGUUCAGCAAGUGGCGCCAGUUUCCCAGAGGGCUGUGCGCUGUGUUUUCACGUGAGGAGAAGCAUCCACAGCAGACCGGGCGGCAACGCAGAGAGCAGAGACAGUCGCCAGGCACGUGCGUUUUCACGGUAAACUUGCCUCCAGAGGCCAAUCCUGUUUUCCAGAGGUGUAAUUGAUUUUAGUUAUCAGUAGCGUUAAAAGAAAAAAGGCUCGGUGUUCCCACUGCGGUGUGGAGGGAACGAACCCGACCGGCCUCCAUGAGGGUGCGGGUUCAGUCCCUGGCCUCAGGGAGUCUGGGAUCCGGCGUUGCCGUGAGCUGAGGUGCAAGUCGCAGAUGCGGCUCAGAUCCCGCCCUGCCGUGGCUGGGGUGUAGGCCGGCAGCCGCGGCUCCAGUUUGACCCCUAAUCUGGGAGCCUCCAUGUGCCCUGAGAAGCAAGAAAAGAAAAAAAAUUCUUGCUCUGGGAUCACAUGGUCUCAGUGCUAAGUAAGGAAGAAAUUCAACGUCGAAAGGGACUUCAGGUGGCCUCCGGCUGAGAGCCCUCCCCGGUGGCAUUGCUCAGUCAUGUGCCCUUCGACUUUCCAGGUGUCGACCGGGCUUUGCUGGGAAGCACAUACAUCAGGCCCAAGUACAGCAACGUCUAAAGGACGUCAUUCUUUCUCACGCCAGGAAAGAUUCUUCACGUAUCUGCGCUCCAUCUAAUGAUCCCAUUUUUAUAAAGGGAAUUGUUCCUAAAGAGCCAGAGCAAUUCAAAACUUGAAUAAUUCGAGUAAUUUUCAUAAAAAAUGUGCAUUUUACUAGUUGAACUCCCGGAGACCAGAACAGCUGUAUCUUCCUUACUUGUAGCUCUUAGGGGAGACUCCCACUCCUCCCUCUGCUCUGAAAUCUCAGACGUUCAUUCUGCAGAGAGACCAUCUCUGCUGUAAAGCUCGGGAACUGCCCUUCCUUCCGUCUCUGGCAUUUAGAGCAGGGCCUGCCAGCCAGACACGCUGGAGGCUGAAACAUUCGCGGAUUGGGGCAUUCCGCGUGGUGCUCAGGCCAGGGACACCCCGUCGCCACUCCCGCCUGGGACCUCAGCCACGCUCACAGCUGCGCGAGCCUUGUUUUCCCCAGCCCAGGCGAGUGGCAGAGCCGCCAAAGGAAAGAGAAGAAGUGGGGGAGCGGCAUCCACACAUUUUCCUCCUCUUUUUCCUUACUUCGCGUGUAGUUGGCUGACAGUGUUGUGCCACUGUCUGCUGUGCUGCACAGUGCCCCGGUCACAGGAGCCAAGACAGGGGAACACGUCUCCUCCUUCGAGUCUUCCCACAGGAGAGCGGGGACUCGCUGUGUCUCAUGAGGGCUGCGCCGCCGCAAGGCCUCUGGUCUGGGGGCCGGAGCUUCCCGGUGCCCUUGGCCUCACGGACCCUGUCGUUGUGUCUGUGGAGAAGAGAGGUGUUGUCCUUUGCACUCCCUGGCUUUUUAUGCAAAACGGGGAACUCUCUACCCGUGAUGAUUUCUCCAUUGUUUUCCUUUUCCGGUUACAUGUCUACAAGUUAAAAAAAUCCACAACAGUGUGUCUCCGCUCACGGGGCGCUUUCUGCCACGCGGAGGCCCCUGGAAUGUUGUUUCCCCAUCUUUUGUUCGCUGUCACUGGCGUCGCUGGAGCUGUGGGCUGGCUCAGCCCCAACACACGCUCAGGCUGGACGUUUUGGGUGCCAAGGAAUUCAAGUAAGUGACUUAUGACAGGAAUUUGGUGUGAUGGGGGGAAAGAUAGAAGCCAGGAGGUUUCACUGUAGCUGUGCAAGUGGGAAUUCCUGACGCAUUUUCUUCUGAGCCUGCGAAGGCACUUGUAGCCAUGGGGUGAAGGUAAAGGGUGGAUGGAAAAUGGAAACAAAAUGACCGUUUUAUUUUAUUUUAUUUUAUUUAUUUUAUUUUUGGGGGGGCGCACCUGCAGCAUAUGGAAGUUCCCAGGCUAGGGGUCGAAUUGGAGCUAUAGCUGCCGGCCUACACCACAGCUCAUGGCAAUGCCAGAUCCUUAACCCACUGAGUGAGGCCGGGGAUCGAACCUGCAACCUCACGGUUCCUAGUUGGAUUCGUUUCCGCUGUGCCACAACGGGAACUCCAUGACAAUUUUAUUUUAAAAUGGCUAUUUCCAGUCAUUUUAUCCAAGACCGAAAGAUGUAAGUUCUUUCCUUUUUCUGACAGCCACGGAGCAGUUCUGGGGCUCAGAGCACUCUUUAUGAAUAUACGUAAUGUAGGGCACGUAGAAACCAUUCUGCCGCGCAGAAAGUGUGGUGCACUUGGUUGCUUGCCCUUUUUAGGUGAGGAAGCUGUGAUCAUUCCUUUGCAUUAAGCCACUUCUGUGUAAGGAUUUUUAAAUCCUUGUCCCUGGUAUCGACCAGCUGAGGGUAAACGUUGCUGGCUGUUUCUAACUGGCACCCCACCCACUAUUGCUACUAUGAAUAAUUCACAGCUUCCUUCCUAUGCAGAUCUGAGAGAAUUGUCAAAAUCAGACAGACGUACUGUUGUGUGCAUUCUCCCUCUUUUGUUGUGAUCCUUUUAUGCAGCCUUUUAUUUAAUAUAGUUUCCAAAGUGGAAAAAUGUAGCACUUNACCCAUUUAUCAUGUUCUCUGUGACAGAUACAGCGUAUAGAGAGAGAAUACAGCGUGCAGGUAGCACUUACUUUUCUCGAACCGUUCCGGAGUGAGCUGAGGAUAUUGUGCCCUUUUAUCACUGAGUUUUUUUAGUGCAUAUUUCCUAAGAACAAAGACAGAUACUUACAUAAUCAAAUUACAGAGAUAAAAAUCAGGGCAUUUAAAUGGUAAUCCAUGCCCCAAAUUCCCAAAUUGCCUGUUACCCUUUAUAACUAUUUUAUUCCUGUUCCAGGAUCUUAUCCGGGGUUAGACAUUGCAUUGAGUUCUGUGUCGUUGUAUUCUCCUUUACCUGACAUAGUUCCUGAGUUCAUUUAUUUUCUUUCUUGAUCUUGACUUUUUUGCAAAAUGGAAGUCUUUUUUAACUCGUUUGGUAAGAAAGCUGCAGAGAUGAUGCUUGCUCUCCUUAGCAUAUCUUGCUGAGACAUAGUGUUCUGUCUAAAGAAGUCGUCACAUACACAGAGCCGUCUGGAUUGUUGUUGCUGCUGCUGUUCUCUAGGAGUGUCACAGUUUCAUGUUUUACGUUAGGUCUGUGGCCCUCUUGAAGCCAUUUCUGUGUAACGGUCUGUCUCUAGAUUCAUUUUCUGGAAUGCGGAUGCGGUGGUUCCAACACCGUCUAUUGAAGGACAGGCCUUUCUCCAUUGAGCUGCCUUUGAUCCUUCGUCAGAGGUGGCUGCUAGAUCCGUGUGGACCUAUUCGGGGGUCUCUCCUUGCGCUUUCUGUUCUCUCGCCAGCACCGCACUGUCUUGGCCAUCGUAGCUUUUUCUAGAAAGUCUUGAGGUUGAGUCUGCUCAGUUCUUUGUUUUCUUCCCAGCCAGUGUCGUGUGGGGUUUUCAGAAUCUGCCUGUCAAUAUGCACGGAGUCCCUCGCUGGGUUUUGACUGGGAUUCUUUCGGAUCUGCGGAGGUUGCUAUGUAGACCUACUGGCGUGCCUGGGAAUAACGGCGUGAGUUAACUUGUCACCGUGCACUAGGACUUCUUCUGAUUGGUGGCCUGUAGACUCCUGAUGGGCCUUCAGGGCACCCCAUUCAACUCCUUGGUGCCUGUGGUUUUUACCCAAAGUGCCACAGAUAACAAGGUUCUAUCCUAGUCGAAUUAAGAUAUGGAGCGUGAAACUCAGACUAAAUGCAUAUUGGAAAAACCAAGUACUGUGAUUAGGGUGAAAGUUCCUUGCAACCUCUCGCGUCCUUGCAUUUGAAUGUUUUCCCAGCGUUCUCAAAACACCCUCGGAUGAACAGGAUUGGGUGCCCUGCUCAUUCUCUGAAGGAGGGCGGUGAUAGGCAGAGACGUGAGACGUUGUCUGAGAUUCCGUACUCAGCAAACAGUGUGGCUGGCGCCAUUCGUCACGACCUCAGAACCUAAGUCUCUUCCUCUCCCAGCGCAUUUGAUCUGGAUGGGAGUGGGGAUGACGGGGUGUGACAGGCGGACACCACGUCUUUGGUGGUUCUUCCCAUCCCGGAGCCACUGCUCACCUGCCCGACCUGGGCGGGGGCACUCCCAGCUCAUUAAAGCACGUUUCUUGGGCUCCUUUCGGAGGUUGCCUCUGCUAGUUAAUUUUACAGAAGUGGUGAACUAGACAGAACGUUACAGUGGAUCGCCCUUGAUAAAAUGUAUCAGCAUUCUUGGAGUUCCUGUCGUGGCUCAGCGGUAAGGAACCCAACUAGUAUCCAUGAGGAUGAGGGUUCAAUCCCCGGCCCCGCUCAGUGGUUAAGGAUCCGGCAUUUCUGUGAGCUGUGGUGUAGGUCGCAGCCUCGGAUCCGGCGUGGCUGUGGCUGUGGUGGAGGCUGGCUGCUGCAGCUCCGAUUUGACCCCUAGUCUGGGAUUUUGCAUAUGCCAUGGGUGCAGCCCUAAAAAUACAGAAGAAAAAGAAAAAGAAAUCACACAUUAAAGAAAAAAUGUAUCAGGAUUCCGCAGGUCAGGGUCUGUUUCAUAUCACCAGGAACUGAUGGACAGGGAGGUAGGAGAACCAUGCCUGAAACCACGCGGGUUCUCAGGUUCAGCCGAGGACCCCCGGCCCUGGACACGAAGGACUGAGCUGCCACCUGUGAGUCCUCUGAGCGGACUUCAGUGUGGAAAAUGCCACUGGAGCUCCGCCCCUGAGUUUGUCGUGUGGAGAAAUGAUGCGAGCCAUCUCUCCAGGUGCACUUAACCGAGUCUGACCUGAAGUUGAAUUUGCGAGGGAUGCGGCCCCAUGGAGCUGGGCCUCCUGGGUCGUGGUUCCGUUGCUCCUGGGCUGCGGUGGUCGUCCGCGUGCAGCGGCGGGAAACCCAAAAUAGAACCAAGCCCGUCGUGCUGCGGCUGACUCUCAAGACGCCGGUGUAGGAGUCGGGAGGGUCAGGAGGUUCAGGGCCCGGAGAGGUGGGGCGGCAGAAUAUUCUGGGGCUGAAUCUGCAAAGGACGUUUUUACUCCCACAUGUUAAUUAACAGGGGACAGCUGCCCAUUAACCAUCCGAGUCUAGUGACAGUGUUUCAUACAAGGUAUAUCCAUACACAGAAAUAAUCUUAGUAAUGCUUUGAUACAGACUCUAUCUAAUGGUUGCCUGUAUAUAAAAUAGCUCGUUAAUCUUUGCGUGUGUGUGUGGGUGUGUGAUCUUGUAAGUUUCUCUCGGUCUCUUCCUGCUAGAAUGUCAGCCCCCAAAGGCACGGGUUUUCACUGUGUGGUGUUUGAGGCCUCUCAGCAGCUAGGUCUUCGCUUCGUCAGGGUGGCCUCAGGUGUGCUGGUGGAGACGGAAUCGGCGUUGGCAUCAGGAGAAUGGGCUGCUGCCGUCGGGUUGUUCCGUCCCGAGAUAAGUAGUUCAUCUCCACGGCCAAGUUCCUCUUUGGUAAAACGAGAGCGAUAGUGUAUGUAUCUCUGGAAACAAGACCAUUCCCUGGCGGUGACCAUCCCCAGAGAAAAAUGUGCCUGUUUCCUGCUUUGUGAUUGGUUUUAAAUACAUGUUAGUUUUUUCCGCUAAAGCUUGCUGAUUCUUGCGGUAGCAGUUUUAAAACCAGCACAUAGGGCUAAAUAAGCUGCACAUGGCGUUGAGCAGUACUGAAGAGUCACCUGUUGUGCCUGGACCUGAGACAGUAAACCUGACCUCGUCCUUUCACUGUACUUUUGUUCAGUUUGUAAAACAAUGAAAGAAGCAGACAGAAGUGUAAGGCUUCUGUGUCACUGAGAUAAAAAUGUGUGGCUGGAUAAAUAGAGCCGCAGGUGCCCUAAGAUACUUUGUCGUGAGUUUGGAGAUGCUGAGGGGGAGAGGGCUGAGUAUAAAACUUGAUCCCCGAGAGAACGGGGUGAUUCUAAGACGGUAUUCAAACCCAUCAGCACUGCUCCAGAUUCAUAGAGUGAACCUAGGGGUUCCCACUGGGGGCUAAGAGUCCAGCAUAGUGAGGAUGCAGGUUCAGUCCCUGGCCUCCCUCAGUGGGGUAAGGAUCCAGCGUUGCCGUGAGCUGUGGCGUAGGUCGCAGACACAGCUCAUAUCCGAUGUGGCUGUGGCUGUGGCGCAGGCCUACAGCUGCAGCUCUGAUUUGACCCCUAGCCCAGGAACUUCCAUUGCUGGAGGUGUGGCCAUAAAAAAAAAAAAAAAAAAGCAACAAAAAAAUAGAGUGAACCUAUCUUCUUCCACAAACAAGACCUAAAUAUCAUUAACACCAGCUUUUCCUGGGAAACAGGAAGUAGAUGGUAUGUGAACAAACUUAAGUCAAAUGGAAUUAACAUUGAAUGAGGCAGGAUCAAUUUUAAGCACAACUCUUUUAAAGCUCUUUAUGUUAUCAAGGUGUUUCAAAAUAUAACUUUAAACGUUUCCAUAUUUCAUUUAAAAAGACAAAAUUAGACAGUUCCCAUCGUGGUUCAGUGGUAACAAACCUGACUAGUAUCCAUGAGGAUGCAGGUUUGAACCCCGGCCCCGCUCAGUGGAUUAAGGAUCCCGCGUUGCUGUGGCUGUGGUGGAGGCCGGCAGCUGCAGCUCUGAUUUGACCCCUAGCCUGGGAACCUCCAUAUGCCACAGGUGCAGCCCUAAAAAAAAAAAAAAAAAAAAAAAA